UGGUCUGUCACCUUCUACCUCCAACAAGUU
RNAcentral lists this non-coding RNA (30 nucleotides) under Mus musculus (house mouse). The record is from RNAcentral. Lineage: Eukaryota; Metazoa; Chordata; Mammalia; Rodentia; Muridae.